Molecule: long non-coding RNA, 1245 nt
Filed under: Daucus carota (carrot)
Lineage: Eukaryota; Viridiplantae; Streptophyta; Magnoliopsida; Apiales; Apiaceae
Description: long non-coding RNA (DCAR_LNC003668)
Source: RNAcentral
CUGGAGAAGACUCGAACGAAUCUGCAUUUGUACAGGUAAAAAAUGCAUAUAAUUGGGCACAGGAUGAAUUUUUAAACGCAGGAAAAAGAUAUGAAGAAGCACUAAGAAUCAAACCUGAUUUCUAUGAAGGAGUUCUAGCUCUAGGGCUGCAGCAGUUUGAACGUGCAAAACUCUCUUGGUAUUAUGCAGUUGCCAAGAAUGAUGAUCUGGAUAAAUGGUCUUCUACAGAUGUGAUUCAGCUUUAUAAUUGCGCUGAGGAAAAUAUGGAAAAGGGCAUGCAGAUGUUUGAGGUAUUAGAGCGGGAACGUUUGGAUGAACUUUCUAAAGAAAAAAAUCUGUCAAUUUCAGAUGGAUUAAUAGAAGAUAUAAGAAUGGAUGAAGCUGCAGAGCUAUCUGCCCAUAUGAGGUCUCAGAUAAAUAUUUUAUGGGGUACUAUGCUCUAUGAAAGAUCAAAUAUGGAAUACAAACUAGGGCUUCCGGUCUGGCAAGAAUCUUUAGAGGUUGCAGUUGAAAAGUUUGAGCUCUCUGGAGCCUCUCCAACAGAUGUAGCAGUCGUGAUAAAGAACCAUUCUUCCAACAGUACUGCCUUGGAAGGUGAAAGCUGCUGAACAAGGGUCUCUCAGACUCUAUGUAAUGGAUGUUAGUCCAGAGCAUGAUCCGUUAUUUGAGAAGGUCAAGAAAAACGAAGAGGUAUACAUGCAUCAUAAGAAUCACAAAGAUUUUACUGAUAAUGGAUAUAUUGCAAUAGGUAACAACGCUAGAGGAAGGCAGUCCUGCAUUGAUGACUGGAUCGUGCAGUUCUCUGAGCUGUUCAAGAACUAUGUUGGAUUCAGUUGUGAUGCAUAUUUGGAUCUCCAUGAGUUUGGAAUGAAGGUUUAUGCAGAGGCUAUGGAGGAAACAGUUACAAGUGAAGAAGCCCAAGGGAUUUUCAACACUGCAUCAGAAAAAUUCCAAGAGAUGGCCUCUCUGGCCUUGUUUAAUUGGGGUAAUGUUCACAUGUCCAGGGCAAGGAAGAGGGUGUACUUUACUGGAGAAGACUCGAACGAAUCUGCAUUUGUACAGGUAAAAAAUGCAUAUAAUUGGGCACAGGAUGAAUUUUUAAACGCAGGAAAAAGAUAUGAAGAAGCACUAAGAAUCAAACCUGAUUUCUAUGAAGGAGUUCUAGCUCUAGGGCUGCAGCAGUUUGAACGUGCAAAACUCUCUUGGUAUUAUGCAGUUGCCAAGAAUGAUGAUCUGGAUAAAUGG